This is a long non-coding RNA of Papaver somniferum (opium poppy), 308 nucleotides long. RefSeq lists it as uncharacterized. NCBI's taxonomy places the organism in Eukaryota, Viridiplantae, Streptophyta, Magnoliopsida, Ranunculales, Papaveraceae. The record is from RefSeq and is a predicted model, not a curated record. The transcript has 3 exons.
CACAAGUUAAUGGAGACUUAAUGGAGCUGUUAAUAGGGAUCCUUUUCGGUAACGUAUAAUCAAAUAAAAAUUGAUUAGCAGAAAUUAUGGUGCCGGUCAUGGGAGAAUUGAUUGUGUAACAUAUGAAAAUUGAAGGGAGAAGCAGUCGAGGUGAAAGGAAAUGAAAGAGAGUCAAUGGUUAACCUUGCAUGAUGCGCGACCUUACUCUUCAGAACCUUAGGUACAAUACCGAAUUAUUGUCAAAGCCAGUGCAACUCGAAUUUUGGCUACCACCAAGUGGUAAUACUUGGGCUGCAACAAGUGCGCAC